UCAGAUCCCCGCCCCCCCUCCAGGCCCAGCUUGUGUUUGCCCGUGGCUUCCUGGUGGGAGAAGCAGAAGCCAGACACCCUGUGCCAAUUUGUGGUAUUUACCUGGGGCACUUGAGAAACAUGGCCGGUCAGGGAAUUGACUCAGAGCCUGGUUUGGGAAAUAUUGAUCUGAAAAGAUCAAUGUGGCCGUCCAGAGAGUUCUUUGAUGAACUCGGGUUUUUUUUUUAAGGACCUGCAAAGUCAAGUGUACCAAAAAGGCGCUGGCAUUUGCGUGUCUCAAGCUGGACCCAGGAGGCUGGAGUCACCGACCCGGAAGGAUGCUGGAUGCUUUUAACAGGGGUGACCAGGAACAUAAACUACAGCAACACACACACACAGAGACACACACGGAGCAUGAAACUGGCCAUUAGCCCCUCUACGUGAUUGCAGGUCACUAUCUACCUACAAGGGGUUUUCAACGUCAGACGUCCGCCCCGCUCAAACAAUUACACCAGUGCUUCAGAUGGGACUCGGUGAACAGUGUGCUUGCCCUGAAGUGGGGUCCACAGAUGACACGGCGGCCCUGGACGUGGUAUAUCAGAACCCUUCCGGGCAGGAACGGAGAUGAUGGCACCACUGCCCGUUACCUGGCUGGGAAUCCCCUGCGGAAUGAAUCCACUCUCCCGAGUAGGCAUCCGGCGAGCGCCUACUAUCUGUCAGGCACUGGAGAACAAAGGCACAGCUCGUACUGAGGGACCUAAGGCUCCAAGACGAGAUGAACGGAGGAGGCUGUUUCGACACAAGCUCGGGGAGUUUGGACGACACUCGGGACAGCCCACGUUGAAGGGGCGGUGCAGAAGCCCGUGCACACAGUCUUAAGCUGAAGAUGAUGGCUUCCAGGGUCACAAGGGCGCUAUAAAACGUGACAGGGCCUAGGUGGUUCCAGACCGGCGAAGGAGAAAUACGAGCGAGCGGAGAAGACAUCCCAGAGAAACAGAUGUCCAACAGGGACAGGAGGGGGGGUGGCGGGAGCAAAGUCACUGCACAGAAGACAAAGGGCCCCCCACCUUGCCUCAGUCAGAACGUCCCGUGCAAGCAGCUAACUAAGUCCCCUCGCCUGGUUAAACAGAGAGGCUGACUGAGGGUACCGAAUCAUCUCCUUAAGAGGCCACAGACACAGCCGGGAAGAGGUAAGCGACCAUGAGGACAGGCGCCCUUCACCGUGGGACUGUUAUCAGGGGAUACCUGGCUACCACCUGGGGCCAGGCAUGGAAACCUCUGCCAGAGUCGCCCCCAGGUGAAGAAAACACCUCAGCCACGGUGCCCAGAACAGCCUCAGCACGGGACGGUCUCGUCCCAUACCACCUAGCUGAAGGUUCUCCUUCAGACAGCCCCGGGGUCAAGGGCACCAUGAGUGACAUCCAAGGAAGGCUUCUGUGGGAGAGAAUCAAUGCAAUGAAGAUGGAGUCCAAGAAAGGAAAAAGAAAAGAAUAAUCUUUAUUACUUGGAGACACAUUGUAAAAAAAAAAUGCUUGGUCGUUAAGAUGAAGAGACCAGAACACAUUUAUUCAGAUGCAGCACAUACCCUGGGGAUCGGAACACACCCGUAAACAAGCAUCUGGGGGCGUUGAUGAGAAGGCGGUCCACUCCCCUGUGCAAGCGUGCAGAGGACUCCUUCCUCAAGAGACUUUUGCAGAACCAAAAAGGCCAGAUUUUUAGCAAGAGAAGAUGUUAACACAUGUCCAAGGGUUUAAAAGGAACCAGAUUUAUAAUCACACAUAUCCAAGUGACACAAAAUUAACUGAAUUGCAAACAAACAAACAAAAAAAAAACACAAAUGAAAGAGCAUCCUGGGGCUGCCUAUUAA
Molecule: long non-coding RNA, 1845 nt
Organism: Mesocricetus auratus (golden hamster)
Lineage: Eukaryota; Metazoa; Chordata; Mammalia; Rodentia; Cricetidae
Exons: 3
Source: RefSeq, a predicted model, not a curated record